AUUGAACGCUGGCGGCAUGCUUUACACAUGCAAGUCGAACGGUAACAGGCCGCAAGGUGCUGACGAGUGGCGAACGGGUGAGUAAUGCAUCGGAACGUGCCCAGUCGUGGGGGAUAACUACUCGAAAGAGUAGCUAAUACCGCAUACGAUCUAUGGAUGAAAGCGGGGGACCGUAAGGCCUCGCGCGAUUGGAGCGGCCGAUGUCAGAUUAGGUAGUUGGUGGGGUAAAGGUUCACCAAGCCAACGAUCUGUAGCUGGUCUGAGAGGACGACCAGCCACACUGGGACUGAGACACGGCCAAGACUCCUACGGGAGGCAGCAGUGGGGAAUUUUGGACAAUGGGCGCAAGCCUGAUCCAGCAAUGCCGCGUGCAGGAAGAAGGCCUUCGGGUUGUAAACUGCUUUUGUACGGAACGAAACGGCUCUGGUUAAUACCCGGGGCUAAUGACGGUACCGUAAGAAUAAGCACCGGCUAACUACGUG
This 482-nucleotide ribosomal RNA is filed under the name uncultured bacterium. RNAcentral describes it as "partial 16S ribosomal RNA". It matches the Rfam family "Bacterial small subunit ribosomal RNA", at positions 30 to 507 of the family's 1533-position model. The record is from RNAcentral.